UAUAUUAAAAUUUUUGGAUGAUCGAGAUAAAGAGCGUAACUGAAGGAAUCAUGAUAAAAAAAUAAAAUAAAAAUAAAAAAUAAAUUUUUUUUUGAAAUAAAAAUUAUAUUUUUUGGAGACACAAAUUAUGUUAUAUUAAUUUUAAUUUUACUUUUAUUUUUAUCUAAUAUUUAAAUAAAAAUAAAAUUUAAUUUAAGGAUAAUUGCCUAUAUACCUCUCAUACGUUUAAAAAUAUCCGAUUUACCUUUACUUUUUUUUUCUUUCUAAAAUACUCCUUAUAUGUUCCAUCGUUAUUGCAAAAUAAUCCCGCAGUUACCUCCUGUUAAGUUAACUUGGAUUAAAUGUGAGUUAUUAAAUAUCUACUACAGUUAAAAAAAAUUAAAAUAUCAAUUUUGCCCUUAAUUUAAGAGCAAAUAAGAAAUGUUGGUAAGGAUAGAAAAGUAUAUUGAAAAAGACCGAAAGUCAAAAUACUUUUUGUGCCCCUAACUUGUAUAUUUGAAAGAACAAAAUAAUAAUUUUAAAAAGAUAAUAGAGUUAAUUAACAGAUUUUAAAAAAUAAAUUGGAACGUAAAAAAGAUAUUUUCAAUAUUAACCUUCUAAGAGAAAUAAAUUCAAAAAUCAGAAAUUUUUCAUGAAUAUUUAAACAAUUGCCCCUUUAAUUUAAUACGUAACAGCAAAUCUAAGAGUUCUC
This 691-nucleotide long non-coding RNA is filed under the name Ananas comosus (pineapple). RNAcentral's name for it is "long non-coding RNA (ACOM_LNC029328)". The record is from RNAcentral. Lineage: Eukaryota; Viridiplantae; Streptophyta; Magnoliopsida; Poales; Bromeliaceae.